Molecule: RNase P RNA, 417 nt
Filed under: Marinicauda salina
Lineage: Bacteria; Pseudomonadati; Pseudomonadota; Alphaproteobacteria; Maricaulales; Maricaulaceae
Description: Bacterial RNase P class A
Rfam family: Bacterial RNase P class A
About the family: Ribonuclease P (RNase P) is a ubiquitous endoribonuclease, found in archaea, bacteria and eukarya as well as chloroplasts and mitochondria. Its best characterised activity is the generation of mature 5'-ends of tRNAs by cleaving the 5'-leader elements of precursor-tRNAs.
Source: Rfam by way of RNAcentral
UCGGACGGCCGGACGGCCGCUCCCGCCAGGGGUCGAAAGACCGGCGGGAGAGGAAAGUCCGGGCUCCAUGGAGGCAGGGCGCCGGGGAAAUCCCGGCGGGCCGGUUCGCCGGUUCAGGGACAGCGCCGCAGAAAACAGACCGCCGGGACCCGGGCUUCGGCUCCCCGGCAAGGAUGAAACGGUGCGGUAAGAGCGCACCGCCCCGACCGCAAGGAAGGGGGCACGGCAAGCCCCGCCCGGAGCAAGACCGAAUAGGGACGGACGCCGCGGCUUCGGCCGCGGCAGGCGCGCCUCCGCGUUCCGUCCGGGUAGGUCGCACGAGGCGCCGCGCAAGCGGCGUCCCAGAUGAAUGGUCGUCGCGUUCUUUCCCGCGUGGAAAGAACGGCACAGAACCCGGCUUACAGGCCGUCCGACCCU